AUCCAGCUGACGAGUUCCAAAUAGGACAAAACGCGCGUUCUGGAU
RNAcentral lists this non-coding RNA (45 nucleotides) under Schistosoma japonicum. RNAcentral also lists the same sequence under 1 other name. The record is from RNAcentral. Lineage: Eukaryota; Metazoa; Platyhelminthes; Trematoda; Strigeidida; Schistosomatidae.